Molecule: transfer RNA, 64 nt
Filed under: Unio pictorum (painter's mussel)
Lineage: Eukaryota; Metazoa; Mollusca; Bivalvia; Unionida; Unionidae
Description: tRNA-Leu
Source: RNAcentral
UAGAGAAGUGGCAGAACAAUGCCUUGGGCCUAAGAUCCAAUAAUGAGAAUACCUCCUUCUUUAA